This 768-nucleotide ribosomal RNA is filed under the name uncultured bacterium. RNAcentral describes it as "bacterial SSU rRNA". It matches the Rfam family "Bacterial small subunit ribosomal RNA", at positions 72 to 838 of the family's 1533-position model. The record is from RNAcentral.
UUUUGUAGCAAUACGGAACCAAGAGUGACGUACGGGUGCGUAACACGUAUGCAACCUACCCUUUACAGGAGGAUAGCUCGGGGAAACUCGGAUUAACCCUCCAUAAUAUGAUUGAAUGGCAUCAUUUAAUUAUUAAAACUCAGGUGGUAAAGGAUGGGCAUGCGUCUGAUUAGUUAGUUGGUGAGGUAACGGCUCACCAAGACGAUGAUCAGUAGGGGAACUGAGAGGUUGAUCCCCCACACUGGCACUGAGAUACGGGCCAGACUCCUACGGGAGGCAGCAGUAGGGAAUAUUGGACAAUGGGUGCAAGCCUGAUCCAGCCAUGCCGCGUGCAGGAAGAAGGCCUUCUGGGUUGUAAACUGCUUUUGUCAGGGGAUAAAAAGCCCAUGCGUGGGAAAUUGCAGGUACCUGAUGAAUAAGCCACGGCUAACUACGUGCCAGCAGCCGCGGUAAUACGUAGGUGGCAAGCGUUGUCCGGAUUUAUUGGGUUUAAAGGGUGCGUAGGCGGCCCUGUAAGUCAGUGCUGAAAUAUCCCGGCUUAACCGGGAGGGUGGCAUUGAUACUGCAGGGCUUGAGUACAGACGAGGUAGGCGGAAUUGACGGUGUAGCGGUGAAAUGCAUAGAUAUCGUCAAGAACUCCGAUAGUGAAGACAGCUUACUAGGCUGUAACUGACGCUGAGGCACGAAAGUGUGGGGAUCAAACAGGAUUAGAUACCCUGGUAGUCCACACUGUAAACGUUGAUGACUCGAUGUUGGCGAUACACAGCC